This 738-nucleotide ribosomal RNA is filed under the name uncultured bacterium. RNAcentral's name for it is "bacterial SSU rRNA". It matches the Rfam family "Bacterial small subunit ribosomal RNA", at positions 100 to 836 of the family's 1533-position model. The record is from RNAcentral.
GCACGGGUGCGUAACGCGUAUGCAAUCUACCUUUUACAGAGGGAUAGCCCAGAGAAAUUUGGAUUAAUACCUCAUAGUAUUAUUGAAUGGCAUCAUUUAAUAAUUAAAGUCACAACGGUAAAAGAUGAGCAUGCGUCCCAUUAGCUUGUUGGUAAGGUAACGGCUUACCAAGGCAACGAUGGGUAGGGGUCCUGAGAGGGAGAUCCCCCACACUGGUACUGAGACACGGACCAGACUCCUACGGGAGGCAGCAGUGAGGAAUAUUGGUCAAUGGGCGCAAGCCUGAACCAGCCAUGCCGCGUGCAGGAUGAAGCAUCUAUGGUGUGUAAACUGCUUUUGUACAGGAAGAAACAUCUCUACGUGUAGAGACUUGACGGUACUGUAAGAAUAAGGACCGGCUAACUCCGUGCCAGCAGCCGCGGUAAUACGGAGGGUCCAAGCGUUAUCCGGAAUCAUUGGGUUUAAAGGGUCCGUAGGCGGUUUUGUAAGUCAGUGGUGAAAGCCCAUCGCUCAACGGUGGAACGGCCAUUGAUACUGCAAGACUUGAAUUAUUGGGAAGUAACUAGAAUAUGUAGUGUAGCGGUGAAAUGCUUAGAGAUUACAUGGAAUACCAAUUGCGAAGGCAGGUUACUACCAAUAUAUUGACGCUGAUGGACGAAAGCGUGGGGAGCGAACAGGAUUAGAUACCCUGGUAGUCCACGCCGUAAACGAUGGAUACUAGCUGUUCGGAGCAAUCUG